GAGUUUGAUUCUGGCUCAGGAUGAACGCUAGCGAUAGGCUUAACACAUGCAAGUCGAGGGGCAGCGAGGGUAGCAAUACCUGUCGGCGACCGGCGCACGGGUGAGUAACGCGUAUGUAACCUGCCCGCAACAGGGGGAUAACCAGGCGAAAGUCGGACUAAUACCGCAUAAAACAGGGGUCCCGCAUGGGAAUAUUUGUUAAAGAUUUAUCGGUUGCGGAUGGGCAUGCGUACCAUUAGGUAGUUGGUGAGGUAACGGCUCACCAAGCCUUCGAUGGUUAGGGGUUCUGAGAGGAAGGUCCCCCACACUGGUACUGAGACACGGACCAGACUCCUACGGGAGGCAGCAGUGAGGAAUAUUGGUCAAUGGGCGAGAGCCUGAACCAGCCAAGUCGCGUGAAGGAUGACUGCCCUAUGGGUUGUAAACUUCUUUUACAAGGGAAUAAAAUGAGAUACGUGUAUUUUAUUGCAU
RNAcentral lists this ribosomal RNA (471 nucleotides) under Tannerella forsythia. Its description in RNAcentral is "bacterial SSU rRNA". It matches the Rfam family "Bacterial small subunit ribosomal RNA", at positions 9 to 474 of the family's 1533-position model. The record is from RNAcentral. Lineage: Bacteria; Pseudomonadati; Bacteroidota; Bacteroidia; Bacteroidales; Tannerellaceae.